GUUAAUCUCCAGCACUCCUGUGCCAUUUGUGGUUCUGGAGAGGUCUCUGAGAGCAGGACCCAGUCCCCCACGACUUCCCUACAUGCUGUACAGUCACAACAGGACUCAUCCUGAGACUGCGAAACCUAUCAGAAAGAAGUCUUGGUUUCUCAUAGCUCAUGUGCUCUCCCAACAUAUUAAAUGGAGACUGCAGACUCAUAAACAGUAAAAGGAACUGUAGCAUCUCUGUUUGUUCCAUAUUUUGGCUUUUCCCAAUUACUUCCAUGUUUGUGGUUGAGAUGCCAAGUAUACGAGGGGUACUUCAAGAAAUUCAUGGAAACAUGGAAAUAAAAGUUUAUUUUGAAGCAAAAAUUACUGAAGCCCAUGCCUGGUUUCUCCAUAAUAUUCAUUUCCAUGGACUUUAAAAAACCCUCAGGUUCUUAUCCAUGUUGAAGAAGUCUCCUGCCACUACACCUAGAAUAUCACCAGAGGGGCUGGCAUUAUGGUUAAGUUGCCGCCUGCGACACCAGCAUCCCAUAUGGGUGCCGGUUCAUGUCCUGGCUGCUCUUCUUUCAAUCCAGCUCCUUGGUAAUGGCCUGGGAAAGCAGAGGAAGAUGGCCCACCUGCUGCCGCAUUUCCCCACAAAACCCAGCUCUCAGCUUCCCUACAGAGCCAAGACCUCCCCCUGCACCCCUGCCCACUCUGCGCACUCCUUCCUGGCUCCUGGAGCCUCGACCACUCACGUGGAAGGCAGGACGAAAACUUGGUGAGCCAGCAGCCCAAGUGGAAAUUCUGAAUGCAGGUCCCCUGCCAAUGUGAGACUGAGUGCUGGCUGUGCUCUCAGUCUGGAUCCUGUCCAAACAAGAGAAACAAAAGUACAUGCAGGACGUCAGCAGCCUCCAGAACCUCAGGUGACAAGCAACCCCAGGGGCCCCUGCACGGGGCCCUGCUGUGAGUGGGGAACUGCCUGGCUGUGGGCACAAGCUGGAUUUCAGGGGGACCCUGAGUGAGGGGAGGAGUGAGACAUGAGCAAGGACACAGCAGCAGUGCAGAGGGAACCCAGCCCCAAGACACUGGCAGAGCAGAGACCAGAGAACAGCUUCCUGGAACCGAGGGGUAAUUCCAGGGACUAUGGGGUGUGGCAGGGAAGACGGGGUCACCCUUUCUGAGAUCCCCACUGAGACAGCUUCAUCGAAAUCAUUACUAUUCCGUCACUAUCGCGAGAGAAGCCAUUUCCUUUAGACAAUAAGAGCGUGCAAACAGCCCGGGGAAGAUCUGAAGCCUCCAAAGCGGAAGUCAGCGUGGGGCACUCGGCCCCCAUGCUGCACGGCUUCAGCCGAGUUAGAGUGAGAGAAGCAUGGUGGGGAAAAGAAGAGAUAACUUUCCUUCUUCUGUCAGAAUCUUCCUGGAAAAGUACAGGCAGCUCAGAGUGUCCACUGCACACUGCAGGACACAGAGCAAGCAAUACCAGGUCAGCGCUUCCUGUGGUCCCUGAUGACGUGGCAGUCAGGCAGUGCUGCUGGAAGCCGCUCACUGCAGCCACAGCUCACGCAGGGGCCAGCCAGGGGCUGAGUGCCUGGGGAUGCUAAGUGCAUGGAGCCCAUUAUCGCCAACCCUUCUCGGAACUGACAGCCUGGGAACUGGAGCACGAACAUCUAAGAGGGUGAAGAGGGAAGCGGUCACCUCAGACGCCCCAGAGUCACCAAGCUAAGUCAGGCUUCAAGGAGCCAUCAGAAGAGCUGGGACUCCAGGGAGCAUAGAAUUCUCCACUGACUGGACGGGCAGUGCAUCCCCUGCUUCUAAAGAUCUCUGUGGCAGGAACUCUCUGAGGCCAAGGGCAAUGAAUACCAGCGUGCGGCCAUCGAGAAACAGGCUCUGUGAGCCCACAGCAUGCACCCUCCCACCUGGAGAGAAGGGAGGCAGCUGGACACCCGCGCUGAGCCAAGCUGGACCAUACCUGCAGACGCAUCACUGUGUCCAGGACUGCGUCUCCUGCAGAGCUAGAGAAAUGCCGAUUCCUGACCAGCGGCACAGUACAAAGACAACGUGCUCAUCCACUGUGCUCUUAAGCAUGACUCGACUGUGAUGAGGUGGGGCAGAAAAGCUAAGGCAAUGGGCCUGUGCUGUGCUAUAGCAGGUGAAGUCCAGGCCUGCAGAGCUGGCAUCCCAUAUGGGCUCCGGUUCUAGUCCCAUCUGCUCCACUUCUGAUCAAGCUCCCUGCUGAUGGCCUAGGAAAGCAGUAGAUGAUGUACAAGUGUGUGGGCCCCUGCACACACGUGGCAGAGCUGGAAGGAGCUCCUGGCUCCUGGCUUAGGCCUGGCCCAGCCCCAGUCAUCGUAAUUGUUUGGGGAGUGAACCAGUGGAUGGAAGAUCUCUCUCUGUCUCUGACUCUCUCUCUCUCUCUAUAACUCCACCUUUCAAAUAAAUAAAGUAAAUCUUGGAAGGAAGGAAGGAUGAAAAGCCGAGGCACGGUGCACUUUGCCUGCCAAGCAGGAGAAAUCGCAUUCCUCACCAUGAAUCUGCUCUCAAGCUGGUUGGGAGCUGUCAAACCCCACACUGAUGUGGAGAACAAGGCUCUGGAGUGAUCAGAGGUCAUGGAGAACAAGUGACAUGACACUGGAACCAGUUAUGACCACAGCAGCCACAGAGCCUUGGCCCCUGCUCCCAUUCAACCUCACACAGAACAGCCAUGGCCACAAAGAUGCAUCUCACUGUCAAUCACUCAAAUGGUGUUGUAACAGACUUCAGCUACACAGGAGAUUCUGCCUAUCUUUAGUCACAUGCAAAGCAUGUGAGAUGAUGGAUGCCCUCAGCACCCUGACCACCUGACUAUGGAUGCUCUCACCCUGUGAGAGCAUGGAUGCCUUACCUUGUGAGACCAUGGAAGUCCUCACCCUGUGACCCCCUGACCAUGGAUGCCCUCACCACACUGACCCCCCUGACCAUGGAUGUCCUCACUCUGUGAGAUCAUGGACACCCUCACCCUGUGACAACCUGACCGUGGAUAUCCUCACCACACUGACCCCUUGAUCAUGGACACCCUCACCCUGUGAGACUAUGGACACCCUCACCCUGUGACCCUUUGACCAUGGAUGCCCUCACCACACUGACCCCUUGAACAUGGACACCCUCAACCUGUAAGACCAUGAACACCCUCACCCUGUGACCCCGACCAUAGACAUCCUCACCCUGUGAGACCAUCUGUAUCUGCAGUGUAUCAACGAUGUCAAAUGAUGGACAUCUUCACCCUAUUUAACCAUUUCACUUUUUUAUCCUAUAAAAUCACAUUAUAAACCUCAAAAUACACAACAAAAUUUUUCAGAAAUGCAAUAAUUAAUGAAUAAAAGGUGAUAAUUUAGGUUACAAAAAGUUCGUGAAACUGUGCAACAUGAAAAUCCGUGUGUUUCAAAAAUUUUGACAAUGAACUUAUGUUUUUCAAUUUGCCAUGACUUUUGGAGCACACUCCUACAGGGGAGCUGUAAAAUGCAGUGGCACGGAGGUGCUGCCUCACAGGGCUGUGGCUACACACAAGGGCUGCACCACGGUGGAUGUGGCCCUCAUGCGACUCCUCUAACACUGGAGGAGCUGAAGUGUGAGGCCAGCUCUGUCCUGGCUGAGGCCGCCGCACUCAGGGGAACCCAGGAGGUCCCCUCAGAGGUGGCCUCUGAGCAGACCCCAGGGUGAAGCCAGGAUCCUUCCCAGCUAUGGGGACCACCCCAGGCCCUGUGCACUGCCGAGCUCAGCCGCGGUGGCACUGGUGUGAGCUGUUUCACGACCCAUUCUCUGGCCUCAAUCAAACCCCAUACAGUGCUCACGGACCCUCUCCUGGCCCACACAGUCCUCCUGUUCUCAGCUGUGUCUGCUGUCACUGCCCCACCUGCACGCCUGUCUCUGCAUCUGGAGAGGGGCCUCCCUGUCCACUUGUCUCAGAGGCCCAUGCUGGCCCCUGAAAACAGGUACCUGAUGGCUGGAAAGGCCUCAGAUGUGACCUGCACAUGGCCCCAGAACAUACAGCAUGAGCAAAGCACCUCUGGUCUUUAAAUAAGUUAGGGAAAACCCAGCCUGACAAGCUUCCUUGUGGGGGGACCCUGGGAGGUGCUCAGAGGCGCCGCUCAGGGCUACAAGCACCAACCGUGGCCUCACCCACUGUGGUCCCCAGUGUUUUAGCACAGAGCAAGACACAAGGUUAGGGUUGAGAAAAUGCAGAUGGGUCAGCUGUGGUUCCUCCACCACCCACACACAAUCAGGCAGGGCAGAAGCCAACAGAAAAACGGCCCAGGGCAGGAGUCCCUCCCUGUGCGGCUAUCAGAUCUCUGACUUUAACCCAGGACAGACAGGGUCAGGAAUGAAGGUGUGGCCUGGACAGAGCACAGUGGAUGGCCCGGGCUCCCAGGACACCACCCACUGCCUGACCUGCAUGCCUGCAAACGAGCUGGAGCACAGGGAAUGCCCGCAGCCCAGGACUGCACAGGGGUGACCCCAGUAGCACAUGCAGCACAACCAGCGUGCUAGGUAGCGAACAGCACACAGGGAGGGCUGCUCGCGUUUGAACUCGGGAAGAUAAAACGAGCUCCUGUGAACACAUUGUCAUUAUGAGAGUCAUGCUGUUGGACGGCGGGAAGACGCAGCCAUGGACCCAGAGAGGCAGGUGUUCCAAAUGCCCAUUCAGCUGAGCCCACCCCACAGCCAGCCCCACUGCCACAGCAGCCUUCUGAGGAGGCCGUGCUAAGGGGAGAUCCACAGCGACACCUCCCACAGCACUCCUGGGGCUCCCGCGCUCUUCCCUUCCUGAGCGAGGCUUGGUCUUGGAAAGCAUCGAGAUUCCACUUUAAUGAAGGCCGGCGCUGCGAGCUGCAGGUUUUUGCAUAAAACCAGGAUCCACUGGGCCUUUGACAGCCCUGAUCUUUCUCACUGGGUCUCUCCUCAAGGAGAUGAGGCGCAUUCAUCAGCAGACACGUGACCACAUCUUCACAUUGCUUCUUCAUGCACGAGCCCUUUCCUGUUCUCUCGUUUUAAAGAACUGUCUGACAGGCAGAGACUGGACAACAGUGAGAUCUUGCACCCUGCAGUUCACUCCCUAGAAGACUGCAACAGCCAGGGCUGGGCCAGGCCAGAGCCAGAACCAGGGACUUCUCCAGGUAUACUAUGGGUGGUGGGAGGGGCCCAAGCACUUUCACCAUCUUUUGGUGCCUUCGAGAUGCACUAGGAGGAGGCUGGAUGGGGAUCAGAGCAGCCAAGAUGUGAGCCAGCUCUCCGACACGGGUGCUGGUGUCACAAGCAGUGGCUUCACAACUGGGCCACAACACCAUCCAGGCUUCCCUCACUAACCUGCACAUUUUUUAAUUCAUGAAGUUCUAUCAAUAAAAAUGACUGCUUCAGAGCUGCUUAUUAUGGUCUAAUAUCAUGUAUAUUAACAACCAAAAGGUGCACAGAACACUGUGAAAAGGAAGAAAUGGUCCACAAGAACAGUAGAUGGUACUACACUGUGUGGUGUAAGGUGUACACACAGGGACAGGCACAGUGCUACACUCUGUGUGUGUGAGGUGUACACACAGGAACAGGAACAGUGCUACACUGUGUGUGUGAGGUAUGCACACAGAGACAGGCACAGUACUACACUGUAUGUGUGAGGUGUGCACACAGGGACAGGCACAGUGCUACACUCUGUGUGGUAUGAGGUGGACACACGGGGACACACAGUGCUACACUGUGUGUUGUGAGGUAUACACAUGGGGACAGGCACAGUGCUAUACUCUCUGUGUAGUGUGAGGUGUACACAUGGGGACAGGCACAGUGCUAUACCAUGUGAUGUGAGGUGUGAACAUGGGACAGGCACAGUGCUACACCCUCUGUGUAGUGUGAGGUGUACACUUGGGGACAGGCACAGUGCUAUACCGUGUGGUGUGAGGUGUGCACACAGAAAAAGGCACAGUGCUACACUGUGUGUUGUGAGGUGUGCACACAGGGAUAGGCACAGUGCUACACCCUCUGUGUGUGUGAGUGUGCACAUGGGGACAGACACAGUGCUACACCUUCUGUGUGUAUGAGGUGUACACACGGGGACAGGCACAGUGCUACACCCUCUGUGUGUGUGAGGUGUGCACAUGGGGACAGGCACAGUGCUACACUGUGUGUGUGUGAGGUUUGCACACAGGGACAGGCACAGUGUUACACUCUGUGUGUGUGAGGAGUGCACACAGGGACAGGCACAGUGCUACACCCUCUGUGUGUGUGAGGUGUACACAUGGGGACAGGCACAGUGCUACACCCUCUGUGUGUGUGAGGUGUACACAUGGGGACAGGCACAGUGGUACACUAUGUGUGGUAUGAGGUGUACACAUGGGGACAGGCACAGUGCUACACUGUGUGUGUGUGAGGUUUGCACACAGGGACAGGCACAGUGUUACACUCUGUGUGUGUGAGGAGUGCACACAGGGACAGGCACAGUGCUACACCCUCUGUGUGUGUGAGGUGUACACAUGGGGACAGGCACAGUGGUACACUAUGUGUGGUAUGAGGUGUACACACGGGAACAGGCACAGUCCUACAUUGUGUGGUGUGAGGUGUGCACACAGGGACAGACACAGUGCUACACUGUGUAGUGAGAGGUAUACACAUGGGGACAGGCACAGUGCUACACUGUGUGUGUGAGGUGUGCCACAGGUACAGGCAUAGUGCUACACCCUCUGUGUGUGUGAGGUGUGCACAUGGGGACAGGCACAGUGCUACACUGUGUGUGUGUGAGGUUUGCACACAGGGACAGGCACAGUGUUACACUCUGUGUGUGUGAGGAGUGCACACAGGGACAGGCACAGUGCUACACCCUCUGUGUGUGUGAGGUGUACACAUGGGGACAGGCACAGUGCUACACCCUCUGUGUGUGUGAGGUGUACACAUGGGGACAGGCACAGUGGUACACUAUGUGUGGUAUGAGGUGUACACAUGGGGACAGGCACAGUGCUACACUGUGUGUGUGUGAGGUUUGCACACAGGGACAGGCACAGUGUUACACUCUGUGUGUGUGAGGAGUGCACACAGGGACAGGCACAGUGCUACACCCUCUGUGUGUGUGAGGUGUACACAUGGGGACAGGCACAGUGGUACACUAUGUGUGGUAUGAGGUGUACACACGGGAACAGGCACAGUCCUACAUUGUGUGGUGUGAGGUGUGCACACAGGGACAGACACAGUGCUACACUGUGUAGUGAGAGGUAUACACAUGGGGACAGACACAGUGCUACACCCUCUGUGUGUGUGAGGUGUGCACACAGGGACAGGCACAGUGCUACACUGUGUGUGUGAGGUGUGCACACAGGGACAGGCACAGUGCUACACUGUGUAGUGAGAGGUAUACACAUGGGGACAGGCACAGUGCUACACUGUGUGUGUGAGGUGUGCACACAGGUACAGACACAGUGCUACACCCUCUGUGUGUGUGAGGUAUACACAUGGGGACAGGCACAGUGCUACACUGUGUGUGUGAGGUGUACACAUGGGGACAGACACAGUGCUACACCCUCUGUGUGUGUGAGGUGUACACAUGGGGACAGGCACAUACACUAUGUGUAAUAUGAGGUGUACACACGGGGACAGGCACAGUGCUACACUGUGUGUGUGAAGUGUGCACACUGGAACAGAAAAGCAGGACCUUUGGAGGAAAUGCAUUGAUCUGCAGAUGGCUCCUGAACCCCUCACCUGGAUCAUCCUCUAACAGGUCCUCAGCCUCCAAGGGUUUUGGUGAGUACUCAGAGGAUGCCUCCUGUUCACACCUAAAGCAUGGCCAGGACAGAGCUGGGCUGGACAGAAGCUGCCCCUGGGAGGGGGUGGUGGGGAAGCAAGGACUUUCCUUAGACUCGGAUGGACCAUGGGUCUCAGUCUCCUCAACAAAUGUCACCAACUCCCCUGCACUCAGAAAACACAGGUGCACCCACAGAUACACACACAUGUGCAUACACAUGGUCACAGACAUGUACCAGGCACACGAACAUGCACACAUGCAUGUAGGUAGCAGAAACACACUCGCAUGCCCACGUACACACACACAGAAGUUCCCUACUGUGGACAUCAAACCAUGCAUCUUGUCUCGUGACUCAGCUUCCAGUGAGCUGGACCCCAGGCCCUGCCCCGCCGGGGCGCCACAGCAUCACAGCAGGGUCUGGGCUCAAAGCACAAGCUGCCUCCGUCUGCCUUCUGUUACUUCAGCCGAAACACCUCAGAUGGCAGUGCUCCUCCUAGCUUGGUCUACAGGCUCACAGUCCAGGGCAGGCAGCCUCAUUACCCUGGCCUCUGCUGGACACUGUCAAGGACAGAGUGUGUGCAAGGCACAACCACGGGUCCAGGCGGGACUCAGACAACAGCGCCAUUUCAACAGCUAUCCUCCCAGUGACCCAAGGACCUCCCGCUGGGGCCAUACUGGAUCCACUGAUAUUAAUGCAUUGCAUUCACGAAGACUGCGGGAACAAGACUGUAAUGCAAGGUUCUUUGGAGGACAAAUUAUUUUCCUAACCAUUAUAUGUUCAAUUAUCUAGACCCACGCUGCAGGCAAAGCUGACCCUACCACAGGAGAUCCUACAGAAAUCACGGAGGUUCCUAAGCCACCUCGGCAACCUGCUUUCUUGUCUUCAGAGAAGCAGCACCUCUGGAGCUUCUUUUAAAGUAAGAGAGAUCUUGGCCGGCGCUGCGGCUCAAUAGGCUAAUCCUCUGCCUUGUGGCGCCGGCACACCGGGUUCUAGUCCCGGUCGGGGCGCCGGAUUCUGUCCCGGUUGCCCCUCUUCCAGGCCAGCUCUCUGCUGUGGCCAGGGAGUGCAGUGAAGGAUGGCCCAGGUGCUUGGGCCCUGCACCCCAUGGGAGACCAGGAUAAGUACCUGGCUCCUGCCAUCGGAUCAGCGUGGUGCGCCAGCCACAGCGCAAAGGCCGCGGCGGCCAUUGGAGGGUGAACCAACGGCAAAAGGAAGACCUUUCUCACCUGUCUCUCUCUCUCACUGUCCACUCUGCCUGUCAAAAAAAAAAAAAAGUAAGAGA
This is a non-coding RNA of Oryctolagus cuniculus (rabbit), 9000 nucleotides long. The record is from RefSeq and is a predicted model, not a curated record. NCBI's taxonomy places the organism in Eukaryota, Metazoa, Chordata, Mammalia, Lagomorpha, Leporidae.